UACGUAGGGGCCAAGCGUUGUCCGGAUUUAUUGGGCGUAAGGAGCUCGUAGGUGGUUCGGUAAGUCGGGUGUUAAACCCCCAGGCUCAACCUGGGGACGCCACUCGAUACUGCUGUGACUAGAGUCCGGUAGGGGAGCGUGGAAUUCCUGGUGUAGCGGUGAAAUGCGCAGAUAUCAGGAGGAACACCAGCGGCGAAGGCGGCGCUCUGGGCCGGUACUGACACUGAGGAGCGAAAGCGUGGGUAGCAAACGGG
RNAcentral lists this ribosomal RNA (254 nucleotides) under uncultured bacterium. RNAcentral's name for it is "partial 16S ribosomal RNA". It matches the Rfam family "Bacterial small subunit ribosomal RNA", at positions 524 to 776 of the family's 1533-position model. The record is from RNAcentral.